Molecule: long non-coding RNA, 2565 nt
Filed under: Sus scrofa (pig)
Lineage: Eukaryota; Metazoa; Chordata; Mammalia; Artiodactyla; Suidae
Description: lncRNA (ENSSSCG00015059616.1)
Source: RNAcentral
UUUUUAGAAUCUUAAAUGCAACUGAAACAAAAAAUCACCUUCUCCUAAAACUGACUAAUCUAACACCUGAAUUUCUAUCAGUAAUCAAAACAAACAAGCAAAAGAAAACAAAACAAAAAUCUGCUAGUCAGAUAAAGACUUACAUAGUAUAUACUCUCAAAACGAGGAUAACUCCUAAAUUAAUUAGGUUUCUACUUAUUACAAGUGAGGGAAGUCAAUUUUUCAGUAGAAAAUUUAUUUACUUAUAAAACUAGAGAGCACAUGUGUGGAGGUUAAUUCAGAAAUAAACACAGAUUUCAAUAAUUAAUUUGGAUAUUUAUUUACCGCCAUUUCUCCAUUUCUCAAUUGUUUGUAUUUGUUGGUUACAACUUUUUGUACUGCUGACAUGAAGGAGAUGAACUAUGCUGAAAUGUGUACUGAUUUGACAUCUGGUAUUAAAAUUUUUAAAGUAGAGAAAACAUUUUCAUGUUGAUUUUACCACAUAAAGUAUGGAAUUUUUAAAUGCAUCCUACCAGGAACUUAUAAAAAUCAAUGUUUUACUAAUUGCAUCUAUACUUGUCUUAUGCCUCUCAAAAAUUAAAUAUUUUUAUUACUGCUACAGACAAAAGUCAUGUACAAACUCUGGUAAAUCUGUUUGUAACAUCUCCUUUCUCUUAAAAUUUAAUAGAGUUAUGGUAUUUUCCAAUGUAUGUCUAAUAACAAUUUAUAAAACUUUGGUAUAGUUGUACAAUAUUAUUACUACCAUUGAUAUUUUUAAAGCUAAUCUUUAUUUUGUAUUUACUAUGCGCCAGCUACUGUACCAAGCACUUUACAGCCACUGUCAGCUCUUUUAUUCCUUAUAACACUUUUAGGUAGACAUUAUUAUGCCCAUUUUACCUAUGGGGGAAAACAGGACUUACAGAGUUUAAAUAAUUUGCCUAAGUAUACACAUCUGGGAAAAGGCACAACUAGCAUUUAAAGCUAUAUAGUAUAUUUCUAGAGCUAUAAUUUUGCUCCAAUGCACACACUUAUUUUUCCUUGCACAAAAUCUCCUUAUUAAAACAAGAACAGCAACAAAUAACAAUAAAAUUUAGUAAAUAAUCUAAACAAUAUUUUUUAUUUUUAUUUUUUUAGGGCUGAACCUGUAGCAUAUGCAAGUUUCCAGGCUAGGGUUCAAAUUGUAGCUGUGCCUGCUGGCAUAUACCACAGCUACAGCAAUGCCCAGAUCUGAGCUGCAUCGGCGACCUACACCACAACUCAUGGUAACACGAGAACCUUAACCCACUGAGCAGGGUCAGGGAUCAAACCUAUGUCUUUGUGGAUACUAGUUGGGUUUGUUGCCACUGAAUCAUAACAGAAACUCCAAUAUAAUCUAAACUUUAAAUAAUAUUUUCCAUUUUAAUCUGGUGACAAAUGUCAGUACAGAGGAAAUAAAUCAAAAUAUUUUCAUCAAAUGAUAGAGUCUUCCAGCAUACGGAACUCAAACUGUGGUGAUGAGAAUGUUCUCCUCUGAUCAAUAGCCAGUAGCCACCAGUGGCAAUUGAAAGUUUGAAAUGUGGUUAGUGUGACUGAAGGACUACAUUUUAAAUUUUUAUUUAACUUGGAUUAAAUUUAAACAUUAUAGGUACAUGAAGCUGGUUUUUUAACAUAUAUAACAGUGUAGCCUUCAGUGAUCUUAUCCAGCCCAAAUGAUGGCUGCCAAGGACAAUCCUUGGAAUUUCUUGAUCACAUAUCCAAUGAUUUGCCAGGUAUUUCGACAUGGAUGUCUAAAAAGGAUCUCUGUUUAAUGUGUCCAAAUUUUUACUUUUUUUGAAAGUAAGUGGUUGCCUUCAUAGGUCCCAUCUUCCACAAAGCACACUUCUGUGUAGCUUUUAGCCCAGGAUGAUAACAUUGGAGUCAUUCUUGACUUAUCAAUAAAAAAUGCAUGGAGUCUUUAUUUUCAAAAAUCUGUGAGCUUUUUAGCAAAUGUGGAACUACACUCUAGUCCAAGCCACAUCCAUAUACUGCCUAGACUAUAGUAGUUAUUUUCAACUGGUCUCCCUCCUUCCCCUCUGACCACUACAGACUUACCAGUCUGUUUUCAGACCAGCUCUCUGCUCCACCUUCACAGGCUGAUUAUAAGUUCUGAGAAUUAACCCAAUAUGCUUCUCUGUGGAGCCUUGUCCAUUUGUCUGGAUUUAUCUCCACACAGAAAUUCUCAUAUAGACUUCUGACUUCACUUGGGUUUCUGCACUGUAUACUGGUAAGUGAAAGAAGCCGCUAAUCCUUUAUUUAUGUUUAUUUUUUAUUAAAGUUAGUUGAUUUACAAUGCUGUGCCAAUUUCUGCUGUAUAGAAAAGAGACUCAGUCAUGCAUAUAUAUAUAUAUAUAUACAUAUAUGACACACAUACAUAUAUACAUAUACACACAAUUUUUCUUAUAUUAUAGAGGCUGCUAGUCUCUAAAGAUUACAUUAUAUUAUUCUAACUACAUAACAUUCUGGAAAAGGCAAAACUAUUGUGAUGCUUAAAGAUCUGUGGUUGACAGGGGUUCAUGGGGAGGAAAAGGGACUGAAUAAGAGGAAAACCUGUUCAGGACAGUGACAUUC